Thunnus maccoyii (southern bluefin tuna) is the source of this 4339-nucleotide RNA transcript. It is a transcript of the gene named 6-phosphofructo-2-kinase/fructose-2,6-biphosphatase 3, with no coding region annotated. Lineage: Eukaryota; Metazoa; Chordata; Actinopteri; Scombriformes; Scombridae. The transcript is spliced from 15 exons. The record is from RefSeq and is a predicted model, not a curated record.
AAAAACAAACAACACAUGGCCACGAAAUGUUUGAAAAUGAACCAAUUUUAAAUAUUUUAAAUAUAGACGAAAUAGCCUAUAAAUUACUGCUACUAAUCAUACAGAUUUGAUAAACACAAUGAGGUGAUUCAUUUGAAAAAGUAAAUGACCUAUAGGCACUAAAUACUAAUAUAUAGCCUAAUCAUAGAAAUUAAAAUUAUCAUCCUAACAAUAAAUACCACAGAGAGGCGCUGUGGCUGCCUAUGUGUGUGUGUGUGUAAGUGUGUGUGUGUGUGUGUGUGUGUGUGUGUGUAUGUAUGUGUGUCGUCACCACAGUCACGUUGUUUCCCGGUCGGGUGGGGUUAAAUAGCUGGUGUGCGCAGCAGACCGGCAGAUAAACCCGGCUCAGCGCGCUCUGUCCACAAUUGUGAGUAGCCUGGUUCACUCCGCCUGAACGGACGAGGCUCCUGCUCGAACAGCCACCGGCUCUUUUUUUGACGUGGUGUUUUUUUUCACCUCCCCGGGAUCUAAGCGACUCGGUUCCCGUGUCCUGUACGGUUCUUUAGUCUUUAAGGAAUGCCCAGAGAGCUGACCCAGAACAGGAUCCAAAAGAUCUGGGUUCCCACUAAGGAUGACAAGCCGGCCCCCCGGAGAGCGGCUGGCGCCCCACACUUCGCCAACCCCCCCACGGUCAUUGUGAUGGUUGGCCUGCCGGCUCGGGGCAAGACGUACAUGUCCAGGAAACUUACACGCUACCUCAACUGGAUUGGCAUGCCCACCAAAGUCUUCAAUGUGGGAGAGUACCGCAGGGAGGCGGUUAAGAAUUACAGCUCCUAUGACUUCUUCAAGCCUGAUAAUGAGUGUGCCGUGAAAAUCAGGCAGCAAUGUGCCUUAGCAGCUUUGAGGGAUGUCAAGUCCUAUUUAAAGGAUGAGGGAGGCCAAGUAGCGGUCUUCGAUGCCACAAACACGACGAGGGAAAGGCGAGAGAUGAUCCUCAAGUUUGGCAGCGAGAACGCCUUCAAGGUCUUCUUCAUCGAGUCUGUCUGUGAUGAUCCCAGUGUCAUCGCAUCAAACAUCAUGGAAGUGAAGGUGUCCUGUCCAGACUACCGGGACUGCAACAAGACUGAUGCCAUGUUGGAUUUCCAGAGGAGAAUUGAAUGUUACAAAGCCAGCUACCAACCUCUGGACCCUGACCAGCAUGACAGGGAUCUGUCCUUCAUCAAAGUGAUAGACGUUGGUCGCCGCUUCCUCGUCAACCGGAUCCAAGAUCACAUCCAGAGUAAGAUUGUCUACUACCUGAUGAACAUCCACGUCCAGCCCCGAACCAUCUACCUGUGUCGGCACGGAGAGAGCACGGACAACCUGGAGGGACGGCUGGGCGGUGACGCCGGCCUCUCGCCGCACGGCAAACAGUUUUCAGCUGCCUUGGCACGGUUUGUAGAGGAGCAGCAGCUGAAGGAUCUGAAGGUUUGGACUAGCCAGCUGUGUCGCAGCAUCCAGACCGCCGAGCAUCUGGGAGUCCCUUACGAACAGUGGAAGGCUCUCAACGAGAUAGACGCAGGAAUGUGUGAGGAGAUGACGUACGACGAGGUGAAGGAGAAAUUCCCAGAGGAGUUUGCACUGAGAGAUGAAGAUAAAUACUACUACCGCUACCCUGCUGGAGAGUCCUACCAGGACCUGGUCCAGCGAUUGGAGUCAGUCAUCAUGGAGCUGGAGAGGCAGGAGAAUGUCUUGGUUAUCUGCCACCAGGCCGUCAUGCGCUGCCUGCUGGCCUACUUCCUGGAUAAGAGCGCAGAUGAGAUGCCCUAUCUGAAGUGUCCGCUCCAUACAGUGUUGAAGCUCACCCCUGUGGCCUAUGGGUGCAAAGUGGAGUCCAUCUCUCUGAAUGUGGAAGCUGUGAACACCCACAGAGACAGACCAGAGGAGGUGAAGAGGGGUCCUGGCACCUUGAUCAGGAGGAACAGCGUGACUCCUCUGACCAGCCCCGAGUCAAACAUCAAGAAACCUCGCAUCGAUGACCUGGACGAGGCUCCGAUUCAAGAGCUGCCCCCUUCUGUUGCUUCCCUGGCCCUGUGCAGCCCCUCACACCUCCCUCUCGCCCUGGCCGGACAGCACUGGCUGGGCAAAGUUUGCCUGUAAGUAUUCACUCUGUUCAGUAUCUGUGGCUGUGUCACUCUUUUUUUUUAUCUCAUCCUCUUCCUGUUGCUGCAUCUUCAUUUGCAUGGUGUUCACUGCUGAUGUUUCUUUCCCCCACUAAUAUGUAAGUGAGAAAAGCAAAAAAGUUUAUACAAAUAUUGGCAAAUUUACAUAUUUUACCUUUAGUAGGUACAUUUAUGUACCUUGUAUUAGCUCUAUUCAUCACAUUUAUCAGUAUUUAUCAUGAUAAAUGCAACAUAUUUCAGUAAACUAAAACAUUUUGUGACAGUAUGUUCUUAUUAGGACACUGUUUUACAGUGAAUGUGUUCUAGACUUAACUAAUAGGAAAUGAUGUCUCAUACUGAAGAGUAGCAGCACUGUUUCCUGGCAGUGAGGGAAAAAAAGACAGGCAUUCAUAUUUGCUCCUGGGAAGCUCUUCUCUUCCCAGUUUACAUUCCUGUGAUUCCUGUCUGCUGUUGUCACUACAAUGCUACUACUAUUGUACGCUGAUUCAUGCUGACUGUCCUGUUCUUGUCUUUGUGUUUGGUUUAUUUUUGGCCUGUCUUGUCCUGCUUAAAGACGAACCAGCCUCCACUAUCUGAAAGUGGUUUCUCUCUUAGUCUUUCAAAGAACCUGAAGAGGAACUCAUCUGGCCGCCAUGACGUCCUGCAGUCCUGCCAAUGAAAUUGCACCGUUUGGUCAUGUGACUCAAGAGGCCAGAAAGUGGAUCACUGACAAAGAUUCGCUGAAAAAAACUUCAAACAACAAGGAAACGCAAAAUUGAGAAUUUUUUUUUUCAAUAUUUCUCGGCCUGUAAAAUCUAAUGGAAUGAAUCUUGUAUCAUUUUGUCCGCUACGGAUGCAAGUUACUGUACCUUUAAUCCUUCAAAACAGGCCAUGGUUAUGUAAUUGCUGUCCUAUCAGCUAUUUUGUGAGAUAUUUAUGUUCAAGGUCGAUUUCAUUUCAAAGCCAAACUCGUAAAUUCCCCCUCCCAUUGUCCCUCUGAGACUGAUGAAUCUGUGUUUUCAAGGAAACUUUAGAAAACCUCUUGUGUUUAAUUCGUUCUUUCAUUCAGAUUCAGAGGAAAACUGUGACUCUUUCGAAUCUAAAGUCAUUCCUGUUAUAUUUCACAGCUCAGUCAGUUCUCUGGAUUACCAGUUUCUUCUGGUUAAGCUUUUUUUUUUUUGGAGAGACCACACCCAAAUAGAACUUUUAGCUCUUCCUUUUUCAACCAUGUAAUUAUGGUUGCUUUAACGAGAUGAUGGGAUGGUAUUUAGUUUACAUUGUAAACUCUUUGGCACUUCUUUGGAAGCACUGGCGUUUUUCACGUGCACUUUUUUCUAAAAUGUGUGUGAAGGCAGAACGUUGUAAUUUAAUUGACUCUUUUGUAUGCGGAUGCAACAAAAUAAGAGAUUAUUUUGCACAGUGGGGAUACAUUUUUAUUAUUAUUUUUUUUGGUUUAUGUGUCACUUUAACUUUUUAAUUUUCAUGACUUCACUGUAACGGAGGUGAUUUUUGCCGUAGAGUGCCUGUAGUGCUUGUUUUGCAAGCCCAACGCCGCUUCUCUUGCUAUUUCUGUGGACUUAAUCGCUGGAGGAGAGGCACCACAUUUCACCUAAUUACUUCACAUAUCAUUUCAAUAUUUUACUUUUCAUGUAAUAUUUAUUUUUCAUUGUGUUUAGUUUCAAUGCUACAGAACAUGCAGAUCAUUUAAACAGAGUUCUGUUCACUGAUGGGAAAGUUUAUUUUCUUUUUAUUUCCUUUUGCUGUCAUUGUCUGCUGCGCACAAAUGUAAGCACCUAUAUUUUUCUUACAACAAAGCGUGCUGUUAAUAAUAUCUUUGUAAAUGUUAGUGUACAUACAGUAUAACUGGAGAUGGAUGGGAGAUGACUUGGAACUCUCUUGGGAGUCUUUUAAUGAACGUGUGUGUAAUAAGUGUUUUUGUACUAAUGUGUCGGGACUGAAUGGAAAGCAUAAUCUUUUGAGAAAGAAGCUGCUGCUCCUGUCUCUCAGUAAAUCUUUUAACAUGUUUGCUUGAGAUACUUGAAAUUUGUUUUUUGUAAAAACUGUUUUAUUAUAUUCUUUAUUUAUUUUUAUGUAGUUUUUGGAUGACUGCUUGGAGCGAGAGGCACCUUCUUAAAACCUGAGGACUAUGCAUGAGAGGACAGUAUGUUGUAUAGUUGAUUUUGCAUCUGCUGGACCAAUAAAUUCACUACAAAUAUACA